RNAcentral lists this ribosomal RNA (253 nucleotides) under uncultured bacterium. RNAcentral's name for it is "partial 16S ribosomal RNA". It matches the Rfam family "Bacterial small subunit ribosomal RNA", at positions 524 to 776 of the family's 1533-position model. The record is from RNAcentral.
UACGUAGGGUGCAAGCGUUAAUCGGAAUUACUGGGCGUAAAGCGUGCGCAGGCGGUUCUAUAAGACAGAUGUGAAAUCCCCGGGCUCAACCUGGGAACUGCAUUUGUGACUGUAGAGCUGGAGUACGGUAGAGGGGGAUGGAAUUCCGCGUGUAGCAGUGAAAUGCGUAGAUAUUGGGAGGAACACCAGUGGCGAAGGCGGCUCACUGGACCGGAACUGACGCUGAUGCGCGAAAGCGUGGGGAGCAAACGGG